UGCAGUCGACGAGUUCUGAUUAUUGAAAGGUGCUUGCAUCUUGAUUUAAUUUUGAACGAGUGGCGGACGGGUGAGUAACACGUGGGUAACCUGCCCUUAAGUGGGGGAUAACAUUUGGAAACAGAUGCUAAUACCGCAUAAAUCCAAGAACCGCAUGGUUCUUGGCUGAAAGAUGGCGUAAGCUAUCGCUUUUGGAUGGACCCGCGGCGUAUUAGCUAGUUGGUGAGGUAACGGCUCACCAAGGCAAUGAUACGUAGCCGAACUGAGAGGUUGAUCGGCCACAUUGGGACUGAGACACGGCCCAAACUCCUACGGGAGGCAGCAGUAGGGAAUCUUCCACAAUGGACGCAAGUCUGAUGGAGCAACGCCGCGUGAGUGAAGAAGGCUUUCGGGUCGUAAAACUCUGUUGUUGGAGAAGAAUGGUCGGCAGAGUAACUGUUGUCGGCGUGACGGUAUCCAACCAGAAAGCCACGGCUAACUACGUGCCAGCAGCCGCGGUAAUACGUAGGUGGCAAGCGUUAUCCGGAUUUAUUGGGCGUAAAGCGAGCGCAGGCGGUUUUUUAAGUCUGAUGUGAAAGCCCUCGGCUUAACCGAGGAAGUGCAUCGGAAACUGGGAAACUUGAGUGCAGAAGAGGACAGUGGAACUCCAUGUGUAGCGGUGAAAUGCGUAGAUAUAUGGAAGAACACCAGUGGCGAAGGCGGCUGUCUGGUCUGUAACUGACGCUGAGGCUCGAAAGCAUGGGUAGCGAACAGGAUUAGAUACCCUGGUAGUCCAUGCCGUAAACGAUGAAUGCUAGGUGUUGGAGGGUUUCCGCCCUUCAGUGCCGCAGCUAACGCAUUAAGCAUUCCGCCUGGGGAGUACGACCGCAAGGUUGAAACUCAAAGGAAUUGACGGGGGCCCGCACAAGCGGUGGAGCAUGUGGUUUAAUUCGAAGCAACGCGAAGAACCUUACCAGGUCUUGACAUCUUUUGAUCACCUGAGAGAUCAGGUUUCCCCUUCGGGGGCAAAAUGACAGGUGGUGCAGGGUUGUCGUCAGCUCGUGUCGGGAGAUGUUGGGUUAAGUCCCGCAACGAGCGCAACCCUUAUGACUAGUUGCCAGCAUUUAGUUGGGCACUCUAGUAAGACUGCCGGUGACAAACCGGAGGAAGGUGGGGAUGACGUCAAAUCAUCAUGCCCCUUAUGACCUGGGCUACACACGUGCUACAAUGGAUGGUACAACGAGUUGCGAGACCGCGAGGUCAAGCUAAUCUCUUAAAGCCAUUCUCAGUUCGGACUGUAGGCUGCAACUCGCCUACACGAAGUCGGAAUCGCUAGUAAUCGCGGAUCAGCACGCCGCGGUGAAUACGUUCCCGGGCCUUGUACACACCGCCCGUCACACCAUGAGAGUUUGUAACACCCGAAGCCGGUGGCGUAACCC
RNAcentral lists this ribosomal RNA (1418 nucleotides) under Lacticaseibacillus rhamnosus. RNAcentral describes it as "bacterial SSU rRNA". It matches the Rfam family "Bacterial small subunit ribosomal RNA". The record is from RNAcentral. Lineage: Bacteria; Bacillati; Bacillota; Bacilli; Lactobacillales; Lactobacillaceae.